Non-coding RNA from Equus caballus (horse), 1812 nucleotides. NCBI's taxonomy places the organism in Eukaryota, Metazoa, Chordata, Mammalia, Perissodactyla, Equidae. The record is from RefSeq and is a predicted model, not a curated record.
UCUGGAGAUCCUUCUCUACAUAGCUCAUCUUUCUCCAGUAUAUUAUCCCAAAAGUAUCUGUUGCCUCAGCAGCCCUUAACUCUGAUACUUGUUUCCUCUAUCCAGCAAGAACAGUGCUUUUUUGUUCAAGCUACUUUUCUGUGCUGCAGUUUGGAGCUCAUCUCAUGUGUCUUUUCUCUCAAGGGUCACAGACCUGGGAUGUCUGUUGUGUAAUUAUUUUAAGUGAUUGAUUCACAUAUUUAUAAUUGUUUAAGGUGGAAUAGUAAGCCCAAUGCCAAUGCCAGUUGUUCUAUUGUGACUGGAAUUGGAAUUGUUCACUUUUAAAUUUUGAAGUUAUCUAUUUGAUAACAAUAUGCUUUAGAUAUUAAUUUCAUUUGAUAGAGUAAUUACUCAAGUUCCUGUGUGUCUUAAGAGGUUUUUAUCUGGGAUAUGUGUUUCAGGAUACUUUAUCAACUCUGUAUGUUAAGGAGGCUAUAGUAUUCUCAAAUUGAGUUAUUUCAAGCCAUAUUCAGCUUAAUUUAUUUUGCUUUGGAUAACUAUAUUUCAAAACCUUCUUACUCAUUUGUUUUCCCCUUGUGGGUUAAUUUUGGAGUUUAGAAUUGGUUUCUUGGUAAUAUCCUAAAAAUGCUUCAUUUUAGUGCCCAUAAGUUUUAUCCUUUGGGACCUUUCACUGUCUUAUAAUUUUCUAUAACUCUACCCUAGUUAGUUUAUUGCUAAUGGCUAAAGUGAACCUACUUGUUGAAUGACUAAAAUGGAGCUAGCUACCUAUGAACAUGCUUCUACCAAUUGUAAGGUGUCUAGUAAUUGUGAUACUGUAUCAGCAUUCCCUAGUAUAUUAAUUAGCCAGGUAUUUUUGGUGGACAUGGUGCUCUUAGUAAUUUUGGUGGAUUCUUGUGUCUCUUGAUAAACUCAUUCAAUCACGGCUAACCACUUAAAUAUGUCUUUUGCUUCCAGGAUUGUUUUUAUUUCUUUGCCAUUAAGGUAGAUGUUUUGGCUAUAGACAGACUGUUGCCAGGGUGCAAACACAUAGCAAAAUCAUGAGACUUUCUCUAAUUUAACCAGAUCUCUGAGAUGGCUUAUGUCUGACCCAAUGCUUGUUUGUAUCAUGAGGAAUGACAGUGUUCUAAUUUCAUUUUUGUUAGUAUAACAAUUUCUGCCCCUAUGGCGUAAAAUCUGAUUUACCAGGACAAUCCAACUUUUGCCUUCUCUUGGGAAAAUAUCUUCCUCUUCCUGAGAUGCCACAUGGAGGUGAACUGGAAGAAAAAGAGCAAAAACUGAAACCUGAAGAAUGGAGGCUGUCUUCAAACAAGCCCAACGGAAUUUGAGGAUGCCAGCACCUUUCCUACAUAUUUAAACUUAUCUGCAUUCCCGUUUCUGGAAUACCCUAUACCUGCAUUCUAAGUAGACUCAUGGAAGCUUCAGAGGUCAUUUAACACAUAAUGUCUCAUCUGUACAUCUUGAAGUGGUGAGUGGCUUGCCUAAGAGAACACAGAUGCUCAGUGGCAGAGCCAGAACAUGAACUCAUGCAUAAUGACCUCUGUCAUCUGGGGCCAUCCUCUGAUUUGGUACUUGUGGUUGGUACAGACUCUCUGCGCCACACCUCAUUCCACUGUGAAAGCAUUCUCAUACUGCUUCUAAUUUCAUAACUGUUAAAAAUUAUUUGGCUACGCAUAUUUCAUGCACUAUCGAGUAAAGUGAAGAGGAGAAAAAUAAAGCUACAUAAAAAAUCCAAUAAGUAAUACAUUAAAUUUGAAAGUAAACUUUGUAUGAAUAAGUUCUAAAAUAAAAAUCUUAAAAUUUUACUAUUCUUAA